Long non-coding RNA from Heterocephalus glaber (naked mole-rat), 366 nucleotides. RefSeq lists it as uncharacterized. The record is from RefSeq and is a predicted model, not a curated record. NCBI's taxonomy places the organism in Eukaryota, Metazoa, Chordata, Mammalia, Rodentia, Bathyergidae.
CCCGGAGAGGAGCCGCCCUGGAUGGACAGAGGGACGGAGGGACGAGCAUCCAGCCAGUUGUGUCCCGGCUGCCCAACAGCGGUCUCCAACGCCCGCUGCUGCCCGUCCGAUGCCCGCCUGCCCAGCAUCUCUCUCCCGCGGGCCUGUCCCCUGGCCUGGGUCACAUCAUUCUGCUGUAGGAGGAGGACCCACACAUCCCUUCUCUGCCAACCCCUCCUUAGGGCUCAGCCUAAAGGUAAUGCCAUCAUUUUAACCAACAAUGCUGGGAUAAAAGAAUAUAACCUUCAUCAUGGGGAUACCUUUAUUCAUUUGGAACCAGAAGAGACCUAGAAUAGGAAAAGCAAUUCUAGGCAACAGAGAUAUGGC